Molecule: small RNA, 722 nt
Filed under: Histoplasma capsulatum
Lineage: Eukaryota; Fungi; Ascomycota; Eurotiomycetes; Onygenales; Ajellomycetaceae
Also listed under: 1 other name
Description: hypothetical RNA
Source: RNAcentral
AAGGAUAUCUGAUUGCCCGGAAACGUGGGGAUAUAUAGAAUUCACCUCAGGCCGUGCUUUGAAAGAACCACGUGAAAAGAAUUACAAAAGACUAUUCUCCCCCACCCGGCGUUGCUAUUCGUCCAGGAAAACCCGGUGGAAACUAGGCCUCCCAGUUAUCCUACCGUUAAAUUUGUUUUGAUAUCAGCACAACAGCCAUGCCUACCCAUACAACUAAUGCGACUGCGACUAGAAGUCCCAGUGCCGCCAAACCACUGGUUCUGGGAAGCAACAAUCCCGACAUCGAGCAUCCCGCCUCCACCAACAGGCCGAUGUUCAGUGAAGACUGGGACAUAACAUCAAGCAGCGGGUAUCGCAUCUCCGACAACAUGAUCAACGAGCCGCCUCCAGGCAAGCAGCCAUUCCGGAUAAUCAUGAUCGGAGCCGGCGCGGCGGGCAUCGACUUCCUGCACCACGCCAUACGCGAGUUCCAACACGCCGACGACGUCGAGUUCGUCUGCUACGAGAAGAACCAUGACGUGGGAGGGACGUGGUUGGAGAAUCGAUAUCCCGGGUGUGCGUGCGAUGUGCCGAGUGCCAGUUACCAGUUUGGUUGGCGGCCGAACCCGAACUGGACGCACUAUUAUAGCCCCGCGCGGGAAAUCUGGAAAUAUUUGCGGGAUAUUGUGGACGAGGAGGAUAUGAUGAAGUAUAUCCGUUUGCGGGCCCGGGUUACUCGAGCG